GUCCAAAAUACAGUGAUGAUGUCUUUUCUGAGCACACAUCGGAUUGCUCUAUAUAGAAAACGACUGUUACUGAGUGAUUUUUGGAU
Non-coding RNA from Charadrius vociferus (killdeer), 86 nucleotides. The record is from Rfam. Lineage: Eukaryota; Metazoa; Chordata; Aves; Charadriiformes; Charadriidae.